CACGUAGGGCGCAAGCGUUGUCCGGAAUUAUUGGGCGUAAAGAGCUCGUAGGUGGUUUGUUACGUCCGCUGUGAAAUCCUAGGGCUUAACCCUGGGCUUGCAGUGGAUACGGGCAGACUAGAGUGCGGUAGGGGAGACUGGAAUUCCUGGUGUAGCGGUGAAAUGCGCAGAUAUCAGGAGGAACACCGGUGGCGAAGGCGGCCUUCUGGACGACAACUGACGCUGAGACGCGAAAGCGUGGGGAGCAAACAGG
Molecule: ribosomal RNA, 253 nt
Filed under: uncultured bacterium
Lineage: Bacteria
Description: partial 16S ribosomal RNA
Rfam family: Bacterial small subunit ribosomal RNA
Source: RNAcentral